Molecule: transfer RNA, 74 nt
Filed under: Dallia pectoralis (Alaska blackfish)
Lineage: Eukaryota; Metazoa; Chordata; Actinopteri; Esociformes; Umbridae
Description: tRNA-OTHER
Source: RNAcentral
AUCUGUUUGGAGUUGUGGUUAGUGCGCUCGGCUGUGGAUUCUGGCGACGCGGGUUCGAUUCCCCCUAUCAGAUG